RNAcentral lists this ribosomal RNA (382 nucleotides) under uncultured bacterium. RNAcentral's name for it is "bacterial SSU rRNA". It matches the Rfam family "Bacterial small subunit ribosomal RNA", at positions 30 to 425 of the family's 1533-position model. The record is from RNAcentral.
AUUGAACGCUGGCGGUAUGCCUAACACAUGCAAGUCGAACGAGGUAGCAAUACCUAGUGGCGGACGGGUGAGGAAUACGUAGGGAUCUGCCCUUAAGUGGGGAUAACCCGGGGAAACCCGGAUUAAUACCGCAUGAUCUCGCAAGAGCAAAGAGGGGGACCGCAAGGCCUCUCGCUUUUGGAGGGACCUACGUCGGAUUAGCUAGUUGGUGAGGUAAUGGCUCACCAAGGCGACGAUCCGUAACUGGUCUGAGAGGAUGAUCAGUCACACCGGAACUGAGACACGGUCCGGACUCCUACGGGAGGCAGCAGUGGGGAAUAUUGGACAAUGGGCGAAAGCCUGAUCCAGCAAUACCGCGUGUGUGAAGAAGGCCUUCGGGUUG